UACGUAGGGGGCAAGCGUUGUCCGGAAUCAUUGGGCGUAAAGCGCGUGUAGGCGGCUCGAUAAGUCUGCUGUGAAAGCCCCGGGCUCAACCUGGGAACUGCAUUUGAGACUGGAGGACUUGAGGACGGGAGAGGAGAGUGGAAUUCCCAGUGUAGAGGUGAAAUUCGUAGAUAUUGGGAAGAACACCGAUGGCGAAGGCAGCUCUCUGGACCGUUACUGACGCUGAGGCGCGAAAGCGUGGGGAGCAAACAGG
RNAcentral lists this ribosomal RNA (253 nucleotides) under uncultured bacterium. RNAcentral describes it as "partial 16S ribosomal RNA". It matches the Rfam family "Bacterial small subunit ribosomal RNA", at positions 524 to 776 of the family's 1533-position model. The record is from RNAcentral.